Rhipicephalus sanguineus (brown dog tick) is the source of this 432-nucleotide long non-coding RNA. RefSeq lists it as uncharacterized. The record is from RefSeq and is a predicted model, not a curated record. The transcript is spliced from 3 exons. NCBI's taxonomy places the organism in Eukaryota, Metazoa, Arthropoda, Arachnida, Ixodida, Ixodidae.
AAAGGGGUCUAGGGAUUGUAGGCAUGUGGGGAUAAAAGCGAGCCAUAGCGGAAGGAGGUAUUUGUGUCGAUUUCUUCCUUCGAGGUGGUUUCGAAAUUCGCUCGCACAGUGCGGCGUACGCAUCGUGCGUAAAAGCUCCGUAAUCGAUUGUUGUGCUAACUCGCCUUCGGCAUAACUGCGGUGCCACCGCAACCGCCACUUGACUGCGGGGUGCCUGGAACCCUGUAGCCACUAGUCAGCUGCUACCGGGACUGCUUGCAUCUGGAGGGUCUUUUUCGAAGCACUGGCGUGGCUCUGAGAUCUAGAUUUGCAAGGCCAGUGACAGAGGUCAAUUUCAAGAUGUUUGAAGGUGUUGUUGCGCACCUUCUAAACAAGUAUCUAGGGAAAUACAUAAAAGAUCUUGACAGUGAGAACCUCAAUGUAGGAAUAUUU